Mustela lutreola (European mink) is the source of this 2297-nucleotide long non-coding RNA. RefSeq lists it as uncharacterized. The record is from RefSeq and is a predicted model, not a curated record. The transcript is spliced from 4 exons. NCBI's taxonomy places the organism in Eukaryota, Metazoa, Chordata, Mammalia, Carnivora, Mustelidae.
AAGGAGACAUGACUUAGCCUUGCUUCAGGGGUUACUAGAAAUUUCAUUUCUUUUGCUAUUUCUUCUGGUUGAAACUCUGUUACAAGACUUUUGAUCACGUGUGACAAAACCCAGAAAACUCUCUUUUGGUCUGAAUCUGCCGACAGGGGAAAACAGACCCUUCAGCUUCCUGUUCUUUAUCUCAUGGUUGAUUAAUAGAGAUUAAAACUCUAGGCUCUCAGAAGUAUGCCGUAUUUGGGAAAAACAUCCAUUUCCUGUUUUGAAGCCUAUAAUUUAUGUUUGCAGCUUGCAAAACCACAGUGUAAACCACCUCAUAUAAAAGCUUGUAUUUAAAAGCUCCAAAGAUAUUUAGAAUGGGGUUGAUACUGCUUGCGAUAUUCUCCAUCAUAUUAGUUUCCUAACUUGUCUGGUUUUUGCCUCAGAUAGUUUGGUGCCAUGACCCAGGAUCUGAACUUAUCUUCAGAUUUUCAUUUACCCUAGCCAGGUCAUAAGGCCAUUUGGAGCCUUUUGUACUCCAUUUCUGGCUGGAAGUCCAGAGAUCUAAAGUUUCUUUGGAGUUUCCAUCAAGACACAGUUUGCACUGACCAUCACCAUGGCCUCCAGUUUUCAACUGGGCACUUAGAACCUAUUAUGUCUCACUGCUUGCUGCUUGUCAAGUCCAGAGUGAUAGCAUACCUAAGAGGACCAAGAAAGUCAACACUUUUUUACCUUCCACAAAGGAGAAUAACAUCCCUGGGCAGUCAUGCCUCAGGGGUACCCUGAAUCUGUGUACUGUUUUUCUCAGGAAAGGAUUUACUGAAAAGAGGCACCAAUUUUCUCCAUACAAUUUAUAUGAGUCCCAGUCUAUUCUUUCUCAUGACUUCAAUAAGAGUUUUGUGUCUAGGUGUCUAUGGACAAUUAGUUUUUGACAAAGAUGCCAAGACCAUUCAAUGGGAAAAGAACAGUGUUUUUAAUAAAUUAAUCUGGGAUAAUUUAAUAUAGUCACAUGGAUGGCAUAUGGAUUCUUAACUCACACUAUGUAAAAAUUAACUCAAAAUGGAUAAAAAAAUGUGAGUGUAAGAACUAAGACUAUGGAGUUCUUAGAAGAAAACAGUGGUAAAUCUUCAUGAACUCAGUUGUGGCAGUGGAUUUUUAGAUAUGACCUCAAAAACAUAGGCAACAAGAGGAAAAACAGAUAAAUUGAGCUUCAUCAAAAUAAAGAAAUAAAAAGCAUUCAAAUUGGCAGAGAAUAAGUCAAACUCUCAAUCUUCAUACAUGACACGAUACUUUAUGUGGAAAACUCAAAAGACUUCACCCUAAAAUUGCUAGAACUCAAACAGCCAUUCAGCAAUGUAAGAGGAUAAAAAAAUCGGUGCACAGAAAUAAGUUGCAUUUCUAUACACUAACAAUGUGACUGAAGAAAGAGAAAUUAAGGAAUCAGUCCCAUUUACAAUUGCACCAAAAACCAUAAGAUACCUAAGAAUAAACCUAACCAAAGAGGUAAAAUAUCUGUACUUUAAAAACUACAGAACACUUACAAAAGAAGCUGAGAAAGACACAAAGAAAUGGAAAAAUAGUCCAUGCUCAUGGAUUGGAAGAAUAAAUAUUGUUAAAAUAUCUAUGCUAUCCAGAGCAAUCUAUACAUUCAAAGCAAUCCUUAUAAAAAUAAUAUCAACAUUAUACAGCUGGGACAAACAAUCCUAAAAUUUGUAUGGAACCAGAUAGCCAGGGGAAUGUUAAAAAAGAAAACAAAAGCUGGGGGUAUCACAAUGUCUGACUAUAUUACAAAGCUGUGAUCAUCAAGAUAGCAUAGUAUUGGCACAAAAACAGACAUGUAGAUCAAUGGAACAGAAUACAGACCCCAGAUACGGACCCUCAACUCUAUGGUAAACUAAACUUCAACAAAGCAACAAUUUUUCAAUGGAAAGAAAGACAGUGUUUCUGGAAAACAGUAUGGAGUUUCCCCCAAAAGUUGAAAAUAGAUCUAUCCUAUGACCCAACAAUUGCACUACUGGGUAUUUACCCUAAAGAUACAAUUGUAGUGAUCUGAAGGAAGGGAACAUGCACCCAAAUGUAUAUAACAGCCAUGUCCACAAUACCCAAACUAUGGAAAGAACCUAGAUGUCCAUCAACAGAUGAAUGGAUAAAGAAGAUGUGAUAUAUAUACAAAUGGAAUACUAUGAAGCCAUCAAAAACUGAAACCUUGCCAUUUGCAGCAACAUGGAUGGAACUAGAGGGUAAUAUGCUAAGCAAAAUAAGUCAAUCAGAGAAAAAAUUAUCAUAUGGUCUCUCUGAUAUGAGGAAUUUGAGAGGCAGAA